ACCUGGCCGGCCCAUCAGACCCCUCCGACCGGUUUCAUCCCCACGCCACGAACUUCCUCCCCACCCCCACCAAGCAACCGGAGCCGCCACCGCGCCCGCAUGCCCGCCGGCCGUCGGCCGCCAGAGAAACCGCCUCCUCUCCCGCGCGCUCGCGGGCACCGGAGUCGCCGCCUCGCCCGCGUGGUCAACAGCCACGGGGCGCUCCAAUCCCACCAGCGCGGUCACCGACCACGGCCCCAGUCGCCAGAUCCUGCUGCUGUAGUCGGGGCCCCCUCCACCGGUUCCUUCCACUGCAGCUGACCUCUCCUUCGUGCUUCUUCCCCCACUGCCGCAGCCAACCCCACGUCCAACCGCCGCCGCGACAUUGACGGGAGGUCGGAGAUAUCUACUUCAGUGGUGGAGACGGGGGGUGGGAAAGGGAGGAGCACGGUCCACGACGGAGGUCCGUCACGGUGAUAGGGAAGAAGGCUGGCGGCAGGAUCCGUCACGGCGGAGGUCCGUCAUGCGUCGCUCUGUUUGUUCUUGGCGGUGGCGAGGCUCUCCCUGCCACCACGCAGCCUCCUCCCAGUGGGGCCCAACCGCCGCAGCAGUCAACACGUUCACCCCUGCCACCUCCGGCCGUUCAACUACACAGCCCCAGGACGUUCGCCGCCUCAGCCACCCGGUUCCCACUACUGCAGCGCCAGGACAAGGCCCAUGUCCUUCUUCCAGGCUCAUACUUUUGAUUUCAGACUGUCCAUCGUUAUGCACCCAAUUUAUUCAGAGAGAUGGUCAGUGAUGCUUGCCAUGCUAUGCUACUACAGGUUAGGCAAGGCAAACUGUGAUGAAACACACUCACAUAGAUCACACCUAAUUGGCACCUCGGUGAUCUCAGGGUCCAAGUUCGGUAAGUAUUCAGUUCAGAAAGAUUUGGUAUACAUAAAUUUUGCACGAGUUAGUUGUGGAUGGAUCAUUUGUCUAUCAGAUUUGGAAUUGAUACUUUGCUCAUGUAUAUAUGUGAAUGAACCUUCUCUGUAUCACUUAAUCUAGUGCAAGCAGCACCAUUUAAAAUUAGGUUGCGGCCUUUCCCCCAUCUCAACUUUUUUUACUUGCAACUAUGGAAUUUGGUCGUGGCUAGCAGCAAGAACAAGAAGAGACAGGUUUGCUGGAGUCUGCAAUGCGACGAGCAGAACAAUGCAUGAGACAGGUUAGCUGGAGCCUGCAGGCUGCAGGCAUGGUCGCCGAGCUGCUAAUACUUUGGGGUCGCUCGUAAUGUACUUGGCCGAAUGCUACUACUGCUACAAACAUGUGUAUUAUUUUUGGUAGCUCGCU
This is a long non-coding RNA of Triticum dicoccoides, 1311 nucleotides long. RefSeq lists it as uncharacterized. The record is from RefSeq and is a predicted model, not a curated record. The transcript is spliced from 2 exons. Lineage: Eukaryota; Viridiplantae; Streptophyta; Magnoliopsida; Poales; Poaceae.